Molecule: transfer RNA, 94 nt
Filed under: Candidatus Bathyarchaeota archaeon
Lineage: Archaea; Thermoproteati; Candidatus Bathyarchaeota
Description: tRNA-Arg
Rfam family: tRNA
About the family: Transfer RNA (tRNA) molecules are approximately 80 nucleotides in length.
Source: RNAcentral
GGGUCCGUGGCGCAGCAUGGAUACACAUAAGACCAUAAAGCGCGUCAGCCUUCUAAGCUGAAAGUCCGGGGUUCAAAUCCCCGCGGACCCGCCA